GAUGAACGCUGGCGGCGUGCCUAAUACAUGCAAGUCGAGCGAACAGACGAGGAGCUUGCUCCUCUGACGUUAGCGGCGGACGGGUGAGUAACACGUGGAUAACCUACCUAUAAGACUGGGAUAACUUCGGGAAACCGGAGCUAAUACCGGAUAAAUAUUGAACCGCAUGGUUCAAUAGUGAAAGACGGUUUUGCUGUCACUUAUAGAUGGAUCCGCGCCGCAUUAGCUAGUUGGUAAGGUAACGGCUUACCAAGGCAACGAUGCGUAGCCGACCUGAGUGGGUGAUCGGCCACACUGGAACUGAGACACGGUCCAGACUCCUACGGGAGGCAGCAGUAGGGAAUCUUCCGCAAUGGGCGAAAGCCUGACGGAGCAACGCCGCGUGAGUGAUGAAGGUCUUCGGAUCGUAAAACUCUGUUAUUAGGGAAGAACAAAUGUGUAAGUAACUAUGCACGUCUUGACGGUACCUAAUCAGAAAGCCACGGCUAACUACGUG
RNAcentral lists this ribosomal RNA (496 nucleotides) under uncultured bacterium. RNAcentral describes it as "partial 16S ribosomal RNA". It matches the Rfam family "Bacterial small subunit ribosomal RNA", at positions 28 to 507 of the family's 1533-position model. The record is from RNAcentral.